This 521-nucleotide ribosomal RNA is filed under the name uncultured Methylophaga sp. Its description in RNAcentral is "bacterial SSU rRNA". It matches the Rfam family "Bacterial small subunit ribosomal RNA", at positions 534 to 1051 of the family's 1533-position model. The record is from RNAcentral. Lineage: Bacteria; Pseudomonadati; Pseudomonadota; Gammaproteobacteria; Thiotrichales; Piscirickettsiaceae.
GUAACCGUUAAUCGGGAAAUACUGGGCGUAAGCGCGCGUAGGCGGUUUAUUAAGUCAGAUGUGAAAGCCCCGAAGAUCAACCUGGGAAUUGCAUUUGAGACUGGUAGGCUAGAGUGUGGUAGAGGUGAGUGGAAUUUCAGGUGUAGCGGUGAAAUGCGUAGAGAUCUGAAGGAACAUCAGUGGCGAAGGCGACUCACUGGGCCAUUACUGACGCUGAGGUGCGAAAGCGUGGGUAGCAAACAGGAUUAGAUACCCUGGUAGUCCACGCCCUAAACGAUGCCAACUAGGUGUAUGGAGAAUUUAUUCUUUGUGUAUCGAAGCUAACGCGAUAAGUUGACCGCCUGGGGAGUACGGUCGCAAGACUAAAACUCAAAUGAAUUGACGGGGGCCCGCACAAGCGGUUUUUGCUUGUGGUUUAAUUCGAUGCAACGCGAAGAACCUUACCUGGCCUUGACAUGUACGGAAGAUUGAAGAGAUUCGAUUGGGCCUUCGGGAACCGUAACACAGGUGCUGCAUGGCUG